RNAcentral lists this ribosomal RNA (484 nucleotides) under uncultured bacterium. Its description in RNAcentral is "partial 16S ribosomal RNA". It matches the Rfam family "Bacterial small subunit ribosomal RNA", at positions 30 to 507 of the family's 1533-position model. The record is from RNAcentral.
AUUGAACGCUGGCGGCAGGCCUAACACAUGCAAGUCGAGCGGAUGAAGGGAGCUUGCUCCUGGAUUCAGCGGCGGGCGGGUGAGUAAUGCCUAGGAAUCUGCCUGGUAGUGGGGGAUAACGUCCGGAAACGGGCGCUAAUACCGCAUACGUCCUGAGGGAGAAAGUGGGGGAUCUUCGGACCUCACGCUAUCAGAUGAGCCUAGGUCGGAUUAGCUAGUUGGUGGGGUAAAGGCCUACCAAGGCGACGAUCCGUAACUGGUCUGAGAGGAUGAUCAGUCACACUGGAACUGAGACACGGUCCAGACUCCUACGGGAGGCAGCAGUGGGGAAUAUUGGACAAUGGGCGAAAGCCUGAUCCAGCCAUGCCGCGUGUGUGAAGAAGGUCUUCGGAUUGUAAAGCACUUUAAGUUGGGAGGAAGGGCAGUAAGUUAAUACCUUGCUGUUUUGAUGUUACCAACAGAAUAAGCACCGGCUAACUUCGUG